This 250-nucleotide ribosomal RNA is filed under the name uncultured bacterium. RNAcentral describes it as "partial 16S ribosomal RNA". It matches the Rfam family "Bacterial small subunit ribosomal RNA", at positions 524 to 773 of the family's 1533-position model. The record is from RNAcentral.
UACGAAGGGAGCUAGCGUUGUUCGGAAUCACUGGGCGUAAAGCGCACGUAGGCGGAUUUGUCAGUCAGGGGUGAAAUCCCGGAGCUCAACUUCGGAACUGCCCUUGAUACAGCAAGUCUUGAGUUCGAGAGAGGUGGGUGGAAUUCCUAGUGUAGAGGUGAAAUUCGUAGAUAUUAGGAAGAACACCGGUGGCGAAGGCGGCCCACUGGCUCGAUACUGACGCUGAGGUGCGAAAGCGUGGGGAGCAAAC